GUGCUCGCUUCAACUACACAUAUGUUAAGUUGGCAUGAUACAGGGAAGAUUAUUACGGCCCCUGUGCAAGGAUGACAGGCAAAUUCAUGAAGUGUUCCUUAUUUUU
Manis pentadactyla (Chinese pangolin) is the source of this 106-nucleotide small nuclear RNA. The record is from RefSeq and is a predicted model, not a curated record. NCBI's taxonomy places the organism in Eukaryota, Metazoa, Chordata, Mammalia, Pholidota, Manidae.